Molecule: ribosomal RNA, 543 nt
Filed under: uncultured Clostridium sp.
Lineage: Bacteria; Bacillati; Bacillota; Clostridia; Eubacteriales; Clostridiaceae
Description: bacterial SSU rRNA
Rfam family: Bacterial small subunit ribosomal RNA
Source: RNAcentral
ACAGAGGGGGAUAGCCUUCCGAAAGGAAGAUUAAUACCGCAUAUUAUGAGUUUUCUGCAUGGGGAAUUCAUGAAAGGAGCAAUCCGCUGUAAGAUGGGCCCGCGGCGCAUUAGCUAGUUGGUGAGGUAACGGCUCACCAAGGCGACGAUGCGUAGCCGACCUGAGAGGGUGAUCGGCCACAUUGGGACUGAGACACGGCCCAGACUCCUACGGGAGGCAGCAGUGGGGAAUAUUGCACAAUGGGGGAAACCCUGAUGCAGCAACGCCGCGUGAGUGAUGAAGGCCUUCGGGUUGUAAAGCUCUGUCUUCAGGGACGAUAAUGACGGUACCUGAGGAGGAAGCCACGGCUAACUACGUGCCAGCAGCCGCGGUAAUACGUAGGUGGCGAGCGUUAUCCGGAUUUACUGGGCGUAAAGGAUGCGUAGGUGGAUUUUUAAGUGAGAUGUGAAAUACCCGGGCUCAACCUGGGAACUGCAUUUCAAACUGGAAGUCUAGAGUGCAGGAGAGGAAAGCGGAAUUCCUAGUGUAGCGGUGAAAUGCGUA